This 87-nucleotide transfer RNA is filed under the name Eubacterium sp. AF15-50. RNAcentral describes it as "tRNA-Tyr". It matches the Rfam family "tRNA". From Rfam's summary of the family: Transfer RNA (tRNA) molecules are approximately 80 nucleotides in length. Their secondary structure includes four short double-helical elements and three loops (D, anti-codon, and T loops). The record is from RNAcentral. RNAcentral also lists the same sequence under 1 other name. Lineage: Bacteria; Bacillati; Bacillota; Clostridia; Eubacteriales; Eubacteriaceae.
GGGCAGGUAAGUCUAGCGGCGAAGACGGCGGACUGUAAAUCCGUUACAUUAGAAACAUCGUUGGUUCGAGUCCAACCCUGCCCACUA